CAGCCGCCGCGGUAAUGCGUAGGGUGCAAGCGUUAAUCGGAAUUACUGGGCGUAAAGCGUGCGCAGGCGGUUUGUUAAGACAGAUGUGAAAUCCCCGGGCUCAACCUGGGAACUGCAUUUGUGACUGGCAAGCUAGAGUCUGGCAGAGGGGGGUGGAAUUCCGCGUGUAGCAGUGAAAUGCGUAGAUAUGCGGAGGAACACCGAUGGCGAAGGCAGCCCCCUGGGCCAACACUGACGCUCAUGCACGAAAGCGUGGGGAGCAGACAGGAUUAGAUACCCCCGUAGUCUCUGUCUCUUAUAC
Molecule: ribosomal RNA, 301 nt
Filed under: uncultured bacterium
Lineage: Bacteria
Description: partial 16S ribosomal RNA
Rfam family: Bacterial small subunit ribosomal RNA
Source: RNAcentral